CUUUUGUCAUGUUAAUACAUCUAUACCAGGUGAUGUCCUGGCUUGGAAAGGAAGCUUAGCUUGUAUUUUUCCACUGGCGUGCAGUUUUCCCUUCUAUACUCCAAAUAAUGAAAAUCCUACCCUGCUGCACACGGGCUCGACAUCUUCAUGAAAACUCAUGAAAAAGAGCAUCUGAUGCCAUUUCUGUGCGUGCGAUAGCAGCAAAUAAUCAUAGCCCUUGUUGAGGAUGCAUUUCUUCUAACCCCCCCCCCCCACUUCACGACGGAGUUUCAACGCUGGAAGGCUCAAGCAGCUUGCAAGUGAAGGAAAGAGGAAAAGGCAGGAUCGGGGCAGGAUUGGCUUCUCAUGUGGAAAGGCUGAUGUGCACCAAACCCGGAAAACUAUAAACAGGACAUCCUGCGACCAGCAGCCCAUGAGAAAAUUCUGCUCCAUACAAUGCACAAAAAGUUAAGAGGUUUGAAUUGCCUUUUUGGAACCCUUCACCCAUGACCAGAAGAAGUAGGAGAAGUCACAAAGCAGGGAUGGAAGCUUCUCCAACGAAAGAAAGAGGAAACAAAAAAGGAACCAACAAGAUCCUCUCUAAUCACUAUAUCAUAACAUGGUAGAUUUUCAUGUACAGUGUUGUUCAUGCGUGAUUCUUUUAUUUCCCUGUCUCAGUGCCCAUUAAGACCAGAGAAGUAAUAGCUAUAAUCCCCCCAAGGCUGGAGGGAAUUCCAAUAGCCUGCUAAA
Molecule: long non-coding RNA, 729 nt
Organism: Podarcis raffonei (Aeolian wall lizard)
Lineage: Eukaryota; Metazoa; Chordata; Lepidosauria; Squamata; Lacertidae
Exons: 3
Source: RefSeq, a predicted model, not a curated record